GAUGAACGCUGGCGGCGUGCUUAACACAUGCAAGUCGAACGGAAAGGCCCAAGCUUGCUUGGGUACUCGAGUGGCGAACGGGUGAGUAACACGUGGGUGAUCUGCCCUGCACUUCGGGAUAAGCCUGGGAAACUGGGUCUAAUACUGGAUAGGACCACUUCUUGGAUGGUGUGGUGGAAAGUUUUUUCGGUGUGGGAUGAGCUCGCGGCCUAUCAGCUUGUUGGUGGGGUAAUGGCCUACCAAGGCGUCGACGGGUAGCCGGCCUGAGAGGGUGUACGGCCACAUUGGGACUGAGAUACGGCCCAGACUCCUACGGGAGGCAGCAGUGGGGAAUAUUGCACAAUGGGCGCAAGCCUGAUGCAGCGACGCCGCGUGGGGGAUGACGGCCUUCGGGUUGUAAACUCCUUUCGCUAGGGACGAAGCGUUUUGUGACGGUACCUGGAGAAGAAGCACCGGCUAACUACGUG
This 467-nucleotide ribosomal RNA is filed under the name uncultured bacterium. RNAcentral describes it as "partial 16S ribosomal RNA". It matches the Rfam family "Bacterial small subunit ribosomal RNA", at positions 28 to 507 of the family's 1533-position model. The record is from RNAcentral.